GACGAACGCUGGCGGCGUGCUUAACACAUGCAAGUCGAACGGAAAGGCCCUGCUUUUGUGGGGUGCUCGAGUGGCGAACGGGUGAGUAACACGUGAGUAACCUGCCCUGGACUUUGGGAUAACUUCAGGAAACUGGGGCUAAUACCGGAUAGGAGCUCCUGCUGCAUGGUGGGGGUUGGAAAGUUUCGGCGGUUGGGGAUGGACUCGCGGCUUAUCAGCUUGUUGGUGGGGUAGUGGCUUACCAAGGCUUUGACGGGUAGCCGGCCUGAGAGGGUGACCGGCCACAUUGGGACUGCGAUACGGCCCAGACUCCUACGGGAGGCAGCAGUGGGGAAUAUUGCACAAUGGGCGGAAGCCUGAUGCAGCAACGCCGCGUGCGGGAUGACGGCCUUCGGGUUGUAAACCGCUUUCGCCUGUGACGAAGCGUGAGUGACGGUAAUGGGUAAAGAAGCACCGGCUAACUACGUG
This 468-nucleotide ribosomal RNA is filed under the name uncultured bacterium. RNAcentral's name for it is "partial 16S ribosomal RNA". It matches the Rfam family "Bacterial small subunit ribosomal RNA", at positions 28 to 507 of the family's 1533-position model. The record is from RNAcentral.